UGUGUCUUCGAGUCGUUGAUUUCACACUGCCGAGAAAAGCCUCUAGAUAGAAAAUAGGUGCCCGUACCGCAAACCGACACAGGUAGUCAAGAUGAGAAUUCUAAGGUGAGCGAGCGAACUCUCGUUAAGGAACUCGGCAAAAUGACCCCGUAACUUCGGGAGAAGGGGUGCUCUUUAGGGUUAACGCCCAGAAGAGCCGCAGUGAAUAGGCCCAAGCGACUGUUUAUCAAAAACACAGGUCUCUGCUAAACCGUAAGGUGAUGUAUAGGGGCUGACGCCUGCCCGGUGCUGGAAGGUUAAGAGGAGUGGUUAGCUUCUGCGAAGCUACGAAUCGAAGCCCCAGUAAACGGCGGCCGUAACUAUAACGGUCCUAAGGUAGCGAAAUUCCUUGUCGGGUAAGUUCCGACCCGCACGAAAGGCGUAACGAUUUGGGCACUGUCUCAACGAGAGACUCGGUGAAAUCAUAGUACCUGUGAAGAUGCAGGUUACCCGCGACAGGACGGAAAGACCCCGUGGAGCUUUACUGUAGCCUGAUAUUGAAAUUCGGCACAGCUUGUACAGGAUAGGUAGGAGCCUUUGAAACGUGAGCGCUAGCUUACGUGGAGGCGCUGGUGGGAUACUACCCUAGCUGUGUUGGCUUUCUAACCCGCACCACUUAUCGUGGUGGGAGACAGUGUCAGGCGGGCAGUUUGACUGGGGCGGUCGCCUCCUAAAAGGUAACGGAGGCGCUCAAAGGUUCCCUCAGAAUGGUUGGAAAUCAUUCAUAGAGUGUAAAGGCAUAAGGGAGCUUGACUGCGAGACCUACAAGUCGAGCAGGGUCGAAAGACGGACUUAGUGAUCCGGUGGUUCCGCAUGGAAGGGCCAUCGCUCAACGGAUAAAAGCUACCCCGGGGAUAACAGGCUUAUCUCCCCCAAGAGUUCACAUCGACGGGGAGGUUUGGCACCUCGAUGUCGGCUCAUCGCAUCCUGGGGCUGUAGUCGGUCCCAAGGGUUGGGCUGUUCGCCCAUUAAAGCGGUACGCGAGCUGGGUUCAGAACGUCGUGAGACAGUUCGGUCCCUAUCCGUCGUGGGCGUAGGAAAUUUGAGAGGAGCUGUCCUUAGUACGAGAGGACCGGGAUGGACAUACCUCUGGUGUACCAGUUGUCGUGCCAACGGCAUAGCUGGGUAGCUAUGUGUGGACGGGAUAAGUGCUGAAAGCAUCUAAGCAUGAAGCCCCCCUCAAGAUGAGAUUUCCCAACUUCGGUUAUAAGAUCCCUCAAAGAUGAUGAGGUUAAUAGGUUCGAGGUGGAAGCAUGGUGACAUGUGGAGCUGACGAAUACUAAUCGAUCGAAGACUUAAUCAA
Molecule: ribosomal RNA, 1342 nt
Filed under: Staphylococcus aureus
Lineage: Bacteria; Bacillati; Bacillota; Bacilli; Caryophanales; Staphylococcaceae
Description: partial 23S ribosomal RNA
Rfam family: Bacterial large subunit ribosomal RNA
Source: RNAcentral